CUCAGGCCGCUGACCGCGGCCCCGGACGAGGGAUCAGUACCCGGAACGCGACAAGACUGGCCACG
RNAcentral lists this non-coding RNA (65 nucleotides) under Microterricola viridarii. The record is from RNAcentral. Lineage: Bacteria; Bacillati; Actinomycetota; Actinomycetes; Micrococcales; Microbacteriaceae.